UACGUAGGAUGCAAGCGUUGUCCGGAUUUACUGGGCGUAAAGCGCGCGCAGGCGGCACUCUAAGUACGUCGUGAAAUAUCCCGGCUCAACCGGGAGGGUGCGAUGUAGACUAGGGAGCUUGAGGUCGGUAGAGGGGGGUGGAAUUGCUGGUGUAGCGGUGAAAUGCGUAGAGAUCAGCAGGAACACCCGUGGCGAAGGCGGCCCCCUGGGCCGUACCUGACGCUGAGGCGCGAAGGCUAGGGGAGCGAACGGG
Molecule: ribosomal RNA, 253 nt
Filed under: uncultured bacterium
Lineage: Bacteria
Description: partial 16S ribosomal RNA
Rfam family: Bacterial small subunit ribosomal RNA
Source: RNAcentral